UACGUAGGCAGCAAGCGUUGUUCGGAGUUACUGGGCGUAAAGAGUGCGUAGGUGGUGCCCUAAGUCUGUUGUGAAAUCUCCCGGCUUAACUGGGAGGGUGCGGUGGAAACUGGGGUGCUUGAGUGUGGGAGAGGUAAGCGGAAUUCCUGGUGUAGCGGUGAAAUGCGUAGAUAUCAGGAGGAACACCGGUGGUGUAGACGGCUUACUGGACCACGACUGACACUGAGGAGCGAAAGCGUGGGGAGCGAACAGG
RNAcentral lists this ribosomal RNA (253 nucleotides) under uncultured bacterium. RNAcentral describes it as "partial 16S ribosomal RNA". It matches the Rfam family "Bacterial small subunit ribosomal RNA", at positions 524 to 776 of the family's 1533-position model. The record is from RNAcentral.